UACGAAGGGGGGCUAGCGUUGCUCGGAAUGACUGGGCGUAAAGGGCGCGUAGGCGGAUGGCACAGUCAGAUGUGAAAUUCCCGGGCUUAACCUGGGGGCUGCAUUUGAUACGUGUGAUCUAGAGUGAGGAAGAGGGUCGUGGAAUUCCCAGUGUAGAGGUGAAAUUCGUAGAUAUUGGGAAGAACACCGGUGGCGAAGGCGGCGACCUGGUCCUUGACUGACGCUGGAGGCGCGAAAGCGUGGGGAGCAAACAGG
RNAcentral lists this ribosomal RNA (255 nucleotides) under uncultured bacterium. RNAcentral's name for it is "partial 16S ribosomal RNA". It matches the Rfam family "Bacterial small subunit ribosomal RNA", at positions 524 to 776 of the family's 1533-position model. The record is from RNAcentral.